RNAcentral lists this ribosomal RNA (253 nucleotides) under uncultured bacterium. RNAcentral's name for it is "partial 16S ribosomal RNA". It matches the Rfam family "Bacterial small subunit ribosomal RNA", at positions 524 to 776 of the family's 1533-position model. The record is from RNAcentral.
UACAGAGGGUGCAAACGUUGCUCGGAAUUACUGGGCGUAAAGCGCACGUAGGCGGAUGUGCCAGUCAGGGGUGAAAUCCCGGAGCUCAACUUCGGAACUGCCUCUGAUACAGCACGUCUUGAGUCCGGAAGAGGUGGGUGGAAUUCCUAGUGUAGAGGUGAAAUUCGUAGAUAUUAGGAAGAACACCGGUGGCGAAGGCGGCCCACUGGUCCGGUACUGACGCUGAGGUGCGAAAGCGUGGGGAGCAAACAGG